This 801-nucleotide long non-coding RNA is filed under the name Homo sapiens (human). RNAcentral's name for it is "HSALNT0236755". The record is from RNAcentral. Lineage: Eukaryota; Metazoa; Chordata; Mammalia; Primates; Hominidae.
CGGAAUCCCAGCUCCACUUACCAGGCCGCGGCUACCCCGCCGUCCCCCCCGACUCCCGCCACCCCGCUCUCUCAGGCUCUUCAGGAUCCAAGUCCGUAGGCCCUUUAAGGGGUCUAGUUGCCGUUUGCGAGGCCCUGGGACUUUGGUCCCAGACAGCGGGGAUCCGGAUGGCUUCCGUGCGGAUCCGAGAGGCCAAGGAGGGAGACUGUGGAGAUAUCCUGAGGCUGAUUCGGGUGAAGACUGCAGGAGCUAGCCGAAUUCGAAAAACUCUCGGAUCAGGUGAAGAUCAGUGAAGAAGCCCUGAGAGCAGAUGGCUUUGGAGACAAUCCUUUCUAUCACUGUUUGGUAGCAGAGAUUCUUCCAGCGCCCGGGAAGCUACUGGGUCAAGGGAUUGGUUCCAAAAUAAUCAAAAAGGUGGCUGAGGUGGCCUUGGAUAAGGGCUGCUCCCAAUUCCGCCUGGCCGUCCUGGACUGGAACCAGAGGGCCAUGGACUUGUACAAGGCCCUAGGAGCCCAAGAUCUGACGGAAGCUGAGGGCUGGCACUUCUUCUGCUUUCAAGGAGAGGCAACGAGAAAGUUGGCAGGAAAGUGACGCCAUCCCUAGGAGGAUCUCUGUCUUGAGUUUCUCCUUCCCCAUCAGCUGAAGCACUCUUCAGAGACUACGUCCACAGACACUGAUGCUGAGGCCUCCCUGGAGGAAGGAGGGUUAGGGGUGCCUAUCCUCAAGUAUUGGAAGAGCAGAAUUGAGGGAGAGACCUUUCUUCCUUGUUGAGGGUGAAAAAUAAAUAAGAAUUACAUGUCC